GAAUCCAAGGCUGCAGUCUUUCUCUCUAAAACCUAUUUGUGCUUGCAGUGUACCCACUGGUUAAUUUACACAGCUCUGAUUCAUCCUGACAGUCAUAGGCUUCCGACAGCAUGGGGAGAAGGAAGAGGGAACAAGAAAAGAUGUCUCCUGAGGCGAAAUACUCUGCACUUCUACUGGAGUUCCUUAUCUCUAAGAGGCAUUCCCCAGCAGGCAUCUUGAGGUAAAUCGGCAAGACCAGGGUUCAGCAGCCACAUGAUCCGGGCCUGAGAGGGCUCACACCGUGCAAGUCUCCCUCUGGGCCGAUGCACAUGGUCGCUGCCACAGGUUUCCCAGAUGAUUUCAAGGCUUCCACUGCCCACACAGCCUCUUCCACAUGUUCAAAAUACUGAAAGAAGAUCAGAUUAAGAUAUUUUCUCUGCAACAUAGUUUCCCCUGUUCUCCAGCUUGUCUUCACUUGCAUAAAAGGUGAAGGUUUGCAUGACAUUGGAUCCAGCCCUGAGGAACUCUCGAUGAAGCUGGCGGACUGGGAGAUUGAAUGAGGAAAGGAUUCUUUACUUCAAUACCUGGGGUUUGUUGUCUCGCCACUUCGAAGAAUGAAGAGGUGAACACGAAUAA
Molecule: long non-coding RNA, 615 nt
Organism: Hyaena hyaena (striped hyena)
Lineage: Eukaryota; Metazoa; Chordata; Mammalia; Carnivora; Hyaenidae
Exons: 5
Source: RefSeq, a predicted model, not a curated record